AGGUGCGAUCAUACCAGCACUAAGGUACUGGAUCCCAUCAGAACUCCGCAGUUAAGCGUGUUUGGGUGAGAGUAAUACUAGGAUGGGUGACCUUCUGGGAAGUCCUUGUGUUGCACCUC
Molecule: ribosomal RNA, 119 nt
Filed under: Trifolium pratense (red clover)
Lineage: Eukaryota; Viridiplantae; Streptophyta; Magnoliopsida; Fabales; Fabaceae
Source: RNAcentral